AACGAACGCUGGCGGCAGGCUUAACACAUGCAAGUCGAACGAUGUAGCAAUACAUAGUGGCGCACGGGUGAGUAAUACUUGGGAACGUGCCUUUCAGUCGGGAAUAACCACGGGAAACUGUGGCUAAAACCCGAUACUCCCUCCGGGGGAAAGUUUACGCUGAAAGAUCGGCCCAAGCCAGAUUAGCUAGUUGGUGGGGUAAUGGCCUACCAAGGCAACGAUCUGUAGCUGGUCUGAGAGGACGGCCAGCCACACUGGAACUGAGACACGGUCCAGACUCCUACGGGAGGCAGCAGUGGGGAAUAUUGGACAAUGGGGGAAACCCUGAUCCAGCCAUGCCGCGUGAAUGAUGAAGGCCUUAGGGUUGUAAAGUCCUUUUGUCAGGGAAGAUAAUGACGGUACCUGAAGAAUAAGCACCGGCUAACUUCGUGCCAGCAGCCGCUGUAA
RNAcentral lists this ribosomal RNA (447 nucleotides) under uncultured bacterium. RNAcentral describes it as "partial 16S ribosomal RNA". It matches the Rfam family "Bacterial small subunit ribosomal RNA", at positions 29 to 523 of the family's 1533-position model. The record is from RNAcentral.